GGAUGAGUAGCGAAUUUGUGAGUAACGCGUGGGUAACCUACCUCUUAGCGGGGGACAACUAUUGGAAACGAUAGCUAAUACCGCAUAACAAUACCUAACACAUGUUAAGUAUUUGAAAGCACCAAUUGGUGCACUAAGAGAUGGACCCGCGUUGUAUUAGCUAGUUGGUAGUGUAAUGGACUACCAAGGCGAUGAUACAUAGCCGACCUGAGAGGGUGAUCGGCCUCAUUGGGACUGAGACACGGCCCAAACUCCUACGGGAGGCAGCAGUAGGGAAUCUUCGGCAAUGGGGGCAACCCUGACCGAGCAACGCCGCGUGAGUGAAGAAGGCUUUCGGAUCGUAAAACUCUGUUGUUAGAGAAGAACGUCAGUGAGAGUGGAAAGUUCACUGAGUGACGGUAUCUAACCAGAAAGGGACGGCUAACUACGUGCCAGCAGCCGCGGUAAUACGUAGGUCCCGAGCGUUGUCCGGAUUUAUUGGGCGUAAAGCGAGCGCAGGUGGUUUAAUAAGUCUGAUGUAAAAGGCAGUGGCUCAACCAUUGUGUGCAUUGGAAACUGUUAGACUUGAGUGCAGUAGAGGAGAGUGGAAUUCCAUGUGUAGCGGUGAAAUGCGUAGAUAUAUGGAGGAACACCGGUGGCGAAAGCGGCUCUCUGGACUG
Molecule: ribosomal RNA, 659 nt
Filed under: uncultured bacterium
Lineage: Bacteria
Description: bacterial SSU rRNA
Rfam family: Bacterial small subunit ribosomal RNA
Source: RNAcentral